Molecule: ribosomal RNA, 204 nt
Filed under: Limosilactobacillus reuteri
Lineage: Bacteria; Bacillati; Bacillota; Bacilli; Lactobacillales; Lactobacillaceae
Description: Lactobacillus reuteri partial 23S ribosomal RNA
Rfam family: Bacterial large subunit ribosomal RNA
Source: RNAcentral
UAUCCGUCGCGGGCGUAGGAAAUUUGAGAGGACCUGUCCUUAGUACGAGAGGACCAGGAUGGACAUACCACUGGUGUACCAGUUGUUCCGCCAGGAGCACCGCUGGGUAGCUAUGUAUGGACGAGAUAAACGCUGAAAGCAUCUAAGUAUGAAACUCGCCUCGAGAUGAGAUUUCCCAUUUCCUUCGGGAAAGUAAGACCCCUC